RNAcentral lists this ribosomal RNA (253 nucleotides) under uncultured bacterium. Its description in RNAcentral is "partial 16S ribosomal RNA". It matches the Rfam family "Bacterial small subunit ribosomal RNA", at positions 524 to 776 of the family's 1533-position model. The record is from RNAcentral.
UACGAAGGUCCCGAGCGUUGUUCGGAAUCACUGGGCGUAAAGGGAGCGUAGGCGGUGCGGUAAGUCAGAUGUGAAAUCCCGGGGCUCAACCCCGGAACUGCAUCCGAUACUGCCGUGCUAGAGUGAUGGAGAGGUAGCUGGAAUUCUUGGUGUAGCAGUGAAAUGCGUGGAUAUCAAGAGGAACACUCGUGGCGAAAGCGAGCUACUGGACAUUUACUGACGCUGAGGCUCGAAGGCUAGGGGAGCGAAAGGG